AAACUGACACCCUGGGAAUCCACCUUUGGAGCACCUCUGAACGGCUCGGCUGAUUGCAUGAUUGGAUGGAGCCUGGAUUCACGGCAGUUUUCCUUGGUUCAGAGAUUGCCUGCUGUGCCCUGUGCAUGUGGAACUGACCCUGGAGCGAGAUUACAGCAAGCAAUUGUUUUGCAGGUGAAAGACUUAACCAGGUGAUGGUGAAACAGGAGCUAAAAGGCAUUAAAAAAUACCACUCACCACUCAUCUCAUGACAGAUAUGGAGAGUUCUUUGCAGGUCUGGAUUACCAAUGGAGGAAUUCAAUGUUCUUACGCAAGUGUGAUAGAUGUCCUUCACAUCGCAAGGACUCAAACAUGUCAAGGAGGAAACUAUCUGGCUGGGAAUGUAUCGCAAAAGCUUGAGGCAAAAUGUGGUUGCAGACAGCCAGACUGAUCAUUAUACGGUUCUAAUUAACAUUCCAAUAUUAAUUGGAAUGAAAAAUGUGGAGCAAAGAGUGAGGGUUAAGCAUUGCUGAAAAAAAAUUGUGAUUUGAAAUAACCACUAGUAGAGAGUAAUGAUUAAACUGUAGCAUAGCUAUUGGCACAUAGAGGGAUUUGUUUGUUAUUUGGCACUUAUUCAUUUUUAUAUUCACUUGCAUGUGAAUAGCUCUCUUGAGAUUGAAGUUGUAUAAGUGUGUGUCUAUACAUGUAUUUACAGUAUUAUAUUUAAUGUUUGGAGAUAGAAAAUAAAUAACACAAAUUAUUGAUAUGCUUUAUUUUCUUGUUUGUGAUAAAGAGAAGCUACAUAUAAUGUGAUCUGGAAGCAGCAAAUGGCAUCUUUAGAAAGUAGAAUCUUUAUACUAUUCCUGUUUGUAGUU
Callorhinchus milii (elephant shark) is the source of this 854-nucleotide long non-coding RNA. RefSeq lists it as uncharacterized. NCBI's taxonomy places the organism in Eukaryota, Metazoa, Chordata, Chondrichthyes, Chimaeriformes, Callorhinchidae. The transcript has 4 exons. The record is from RefSeq and is a predicted model, not a curated record.